GACGAACGCUGGCGGCGUGCUUAACACAUGCAAGUCGAACGGAAAGGCCCUGCUUUUGUGGGGUGCUCGAGUGGCGAACGGGUGAGUAACACGUGAGUAACCUGCCCUUGACUUUGGGAUAACUUCAGGAAACUGGGGCUAAUACCGGAUAGGAGCUCCUGCUGCAUGGUGGGGGUUGGAAAGUUUCGGCGGUUGGGGAUGGACUCGCGGCUUAUCAGCUUGUUGGUGGGGUAGUGGCUUACCAAGGCUUUGACGGGUAGCCGGCCUGAGAGGGUGACCGGCGACAGUGGGAAGGAGAGACGGAGCAGACUCAGACGGGAGGCAGGAGGGGGGAGUAGGGGAGAGUGGGGGGGAGCCGGAGGCGGCAACGCCGGGUGAGGGAUGAUGGGCGACGGGUGGUAAAAAGAUUUCGCCGGUGACGAAGGGUGAGGGACGGUAAUGAGUAAAGAAGAAACGGCUAACUACGUG
Molecule: ribosomal RNA, 468 nt
Filed under: uncultured bacterium
Lineage: Bacteria
Description: partial 16S ribosomal RNA
Rfam family: Bacterial small subunit ribosomal RNA
Source: RNAcentral